GAUGAACGCUAGCGGCAGGCCUAAUACAUGCAAGUCGAACGAGAUUAAGAGGCUUGCUUUUUUUGAACGUGGGGCACGGGUGCGUAACGCGUAUGCAACCUACCUUAAUCAGGGGGAUAGCCCGAAGAAAUUCGGAUUAAGACCGCAUAAAAAAAAAGGUUAGCAUUAUCCAUUGUUCAAAUAUUUAUAGGUUUAAGAUGGGCAUGCGUGUCAUUAGCUAGUUGGCGGGGUAACGGCCCACCAAGGCGACGAUGACUAGGGGAUCUGAGAGGAUGACCCCCCACACUGGUACUGAGACACGGACCAGACUCCUACGGGAGGCAGCAGUAAGGAAUAUUGGUCAAUGGAGGGAACUCUGAACCAGCCAUGCCGCGUGCAGGAAGACAGCCCUCUGGGUCGUAAACUGCUUUUAUUCGGGAAUAAACCUUUCUACGUGUAGGAAGCUGAAUGUACCGAAGGAAUAAGGAUCGGCUAACUCCGUG
Molecule: ribosomal RNA, 482 nt
Filed under: uncultured bacterium
Lineage: Bacteria
Description: partial 16S ribosomal RNA
Rfam family: Bacterial small subunit ribosomal RNA
Source: RNAcentral